GCCGAGGGAGCAUGGGCGGUGCAUGCACUCGACUUGUAAUCGAGACUUCGUGGGUUCGAAUCCCACCCUCGGCU
Molecule: transfer RNA, 74 nt
Organism: Candidatus Halobonum tyrrellensis G22
Lineage: Archaea; Methanobacteriati; Methanobacteriota; Halobacteria; Halobacteriales; Haloferacaceae
Rfam family: tRNA
About the family: Transfer RNA (tRNA) molecules are approximately 80 nucleotides in length. Their secondary structure includes four short double-helical elements and three loops (D, anti-codon, and T loops).
Source: Rfam